Triticum aestivum (bread wheat) is the source of this 135-nucleotide non-coding RNA. Lineage: Eukaryota; Viridiplantae; Streptophyta; Magnoliopsida; Poales; Poaceae. The record is from Rfam.
GAUAUAUUCCCCCAGUCCCAAAAUUCUUGUCUUAGAUUUGUCUAAAUAUGGAUGUAUCAAGUCACAUUUUAGUAUUAGAUACACCCGUAUCUAGACAAACCUAAGACAAGAAUUUUGGGCCGGAGGGAGUAUAUA